CCGUAUAUAUUGCUCUAGCCCAGACUCUUUCCAUCUGUUAUUGGGGCGGGGGGAAGGAUUCUGCCCUUUAUCUUCCUUAGUUGCAGGUGGAUCAUUCCCAGUGUAAAGGCACAGCACAAUCUCUCUCCCUCAGAGGAGGGUGCCUGUUGUGUUCCUGCACGAGUCACUGCUUUGGCCUUCCUUCCUUCCAUUCAGUCAUCUAUUUCAUCUGCAGGAUUAUGUCUUGUCUCUACAUGGACUGCAAGUGGACUGUUGCUGCUGCUAAAGAUGCAAAAUCACCCCCUCUAAGAGAACACAGAACCUAUGAAACUACAUUAUACUGAGUCAGUGUUUUCCCUACACUGACUUGCAGUAUCAGCAGCUCUCCAGAGGUUCAGUUAGGAGUCUUUCCCACAGCUUCCAAGGGUUGAACCCGGGACCUUCUGCACGCAAAGCUCACUGAGCUAAGGCUCUUCCUCCAAGAUGCAUGUUGUGCCUCUGUGCAAGUCCCUCCUCUGAGCUGGCUUCCUUCUAAUUAGAACAGUGACUCACGUGGAAACACAAGUGUGGACUCCUUUGCAGGUGUCAUUCUCUUACACACCCUGGAGGAAUGGAAAUCCAGAGAAGGGAAGGAGUUUAUUUGGCUAUCGGAGCUUUGGGAAAUCCUGAUUGACGGCAGCCAGAAGUAGACGCAACAAAGAUUUUGAAGAGACAGAAAAAGUCUUUUGAAAGAAAAUUAUAUGAAAAUGAUGUAUAGAUGGUAUAUUACACCAGUACAGAUAGCAAAAAUGUACAAAACCGGGUCAAAUACAUGUUGGAAAUGCAGAGAAAAAGAAGGGACUUUUUAUCAUAUGUGGUGGGAAUGUAGAGAAGUUAAAAAAAAAUUGGGAAAUGAUAUAUAAUGAAUUGAAAAAAAUGUUUAAAAUGACAUUUGUAAAAAAACCCAAAAGCAUUUUUGUUAGGGAUUGUAGGACAAGACCUGCCAGGAAAAACAAAGAACUUAUUUAUGUAUGCUACAACAGUGGCAAGAGUCUUGAUCGCACAAGGAUGGAAGAACGAGGAAAUCCCAACGAAAGAACAGCGGCAAGAAAAAUUUAUGAGCUACGCAGAGCGGGCUAAACUAACAUACAAAUUGCGGGGCAAGGACAACUGUGACUUUAAGGAAGAAUGGGAGCUUUUUACAAAUUAUCUAAAAAGACAACAAAAUGAACUGGACUCCUUGGCAGGUUUUAAAUAAACAUACACAAACUUAUUGGUUGAUAACAUGAUAGAUAGAUAACAUAAGGAUAUGUAUAAUUUUAUAAAAUGCAGAGAAUAAUAUGUGCUGAGAAAUCAGAGAGAGGAGGGAAGUCUCUGGUGGGGGGGAGGGAUGGAAGGGGGUGGGGAAAAAGGGGGGAAAUAAUGUAUAUGAUUAUAUGGUUUGAUGAUUUGUUAUGUUGAAAUUGCCAAUAAAAUAUUUAUAUAAAAAAAGAAGAGACAGAAAACGAGGGUCUCUUGUGAUUUCCCCUAUGUAAUCAGACAGUAUCGUUAGCCUAGACACAUGUACUCUUUUGCAGUCCAACUCCUGCAGUGGCAAAGAAGCCCAGUAUUUCAGUGUGCGGGAAAUGUGGCCUCCAUCAAACAGAACUGCAAGUUUUUAGAGAUUCUGUGCAAAGAAGGAGAAAAACAUUAUUCCAGGGGGGAAGGAGGAAAGAAAAACAAAGCCUGAUGACUCCUUUACUUGGCAAUCACAGCCUGCUCAACAUUGGCUCCUGAAUGAUGUUAAUAAACUGACUAUUUCCUUUGCCACGAAUCUGGCCAGG
Molecule: long non-coding RNA, 1781 nt
Filed under: Podarcis lilfordi (Lilford's wall lizard)
Lineage: Eukaryota; Metazoa; Chordata; Lepidosauria; Squamata; Lacertidae
Source: RNAcentral